GCUCCGAUAGUGUAGUCCGGCCAAGCAUAGCGGCCUUUCAAGCCGCGGACCCGGGUUCGAAUCCCGGUCGGAGCA
RNAcentral lists this transfer RNA (75 nucleotides) under Microcaldota archaeon. RNAcentral's name for it is "tRNA-Glu". It matches the Rfam family "tRNA". Rfam says of the family: Transfer RNA (tRNA) molecules are approximately 80 nucleotides in length. Their secondary structure includes four short double-helical elements and three loops (D, anti-codon, and T loops). Lineage: Archaea; Nanobdellati; Microcaldota. The record is from RNAcentral.